GAAAUGCGAUAAGUAAUGUGAAUUGCAGAAUUCCGUGAAUCAUCGAAUCUUUGAACGCACAUUGCGCCCCCUGGUAUUCCGGGGGGCAUGCCUGUUCGAGCGUUAUUGCAACCCUCAAGCCCGGCUUGUGUUAUGGGCGAACGUCCCCCUCCAGGGGAGGGACGCGUCUGAAAAUCAGUGGCUAGGCCGCGAUUCCGGCGCCUGAGCGAAUGGGACCUCCAGCGCUCCUAGGGUCGGCCGGCACCUCUGACCUUACAGAAUUAGGGGCUCCCUUUAGGGGCCCCUACAAGGUUGACCUCGGAUCAGGUAGGGAUACCCGCUGAACUUAA
This 329-nucleotide unclassified non-coding RNA is filed under the name uncultured Onygenales. RNAcentral describes it as "sequence contains ITS1". The stretch from base 1 to 105 matches the Rfam family "5.8S ribosomal RNA", at positions 50 to 154 of the family's 154-position model. The record is from RNAcentral. Lineage: Eukaryota; Fungi; Ascomycota; Eurotiomycetes; Onygenales.